Molecule: ribosomal RNA, 267 nt
Filed under: uncultured bacterium
Lineage: Bacteria
Description: partial 16S ribosomal RNA
Rfam family: Bacterial small subunit ribosomal RNA
Source: RNAcentral
GACGAAGGAUGCAAGCGUUAUCCGGAUUCAUUGGGUUUAAAGGGAGCGUAGGUGGUCUUAUAAGUCAGUGGUGAAAUCUUCUCGCUUAACGGGAAAACUGCCAUUGAUACUGUAGGACUUGAGUAUAGUUGCUGUGGGCGGAAUAUGACAUGUAGUGGUGAAAUACUUAGAGAUGUCAUAGAACACCGAUUGCGAAGGCAGCUCACAAAACUAUAACUGACACUGAGGCUCGAAAGUGCGGGGAUCAAACAGGAUUAGAAACCCCAG